Molecule: non-coding RNA, 1130 nt
Organism: Salvelinus sp. IW2-2015
Lineage: Eukaryota; Metazoa; Chordata; Actinopteri; Salmoniformes; Salmonidae
Source: RefSeq, a predicted model, not a curated record
CUGUAGGGGAUUUUAGAACUACCUCAUGCAAGGUCUGUGUUUCGUGUAGACUUACCCAGGCGUGACGUUUUGAUAGCCGUGCAAAUCUCUAUGGGACAAGAUUUGAAUUGACGCAAAUCCCUUAUAUGGUGACCCCGACGUGAUCUGGUGAAGGAUUUCGCUGGACAUUGGCGUGCCAGCCAAUUGACCAUUGCUGUCGUCAGAUGGGUGUGUCUCACAACUCCAGACUGGUCAACUAAAAAGAUAUCCUGUGGACAUCCUGUGCCAGUGUGAUGCGGUUGUGGAGACUACAGCACAUCGAGCCUGUGGACGAACARGCAUGACAUGCGGAACAUCAGGCUCACCCCCGAGAAGCAGUGCAUGAUCAACGCCACCCUCUGCAAUGAGAUCUGCUGGAAGUGAUGUCUCUCACAUCCUUAGAUGUACUCGCGCUCUCUCUCGUUCUCAUUCUUGUUCUCAUUAAGCAGUCCAGAUUAUUUUCUUAGGGUGUGUCCUAUCUAACUCUACUACUUAUUUGGAGUUCAAUGGUAACAUUGAAGUUCCAGGCACGAGGGAUGAUGCCAGAUGCCGGGAUAGCAGGUAGCCCUUUGCUUUGAUGUUGACAGUUAAUUUUAAAUAUAGUCAGUUAAAUUUAAAUAUUGUCAGUAAAUCAUUCCACUUAAAAUUGCUGACUAGUUAGCUAGCAAACAAACAUACUGUGCAGAUAUAUCUACAAAUUCACCUGGCUAAUUGAUAGUUUGAGGAGGAGGGACAUGAGGGUCCUCAGAUCAUAGUUGUUGUGCUGUUACAUUUGUAAAUGACCUGGUAUAAAAGCAAAAUUAGCUAAAUGGAAACAUCUGCUUACUACUUUCAUUGCAUUAUUGUAAAUGUUCAGGCGGUUGCCAUUUUCCGUCGGGAAAGAAAAAUGGCCCUGCAUUUACCAGAAAAGGAAGUUCCACACAACGAAGUGGGUAAGAAAUCAUUUAAACAUCACAGUUAUACAUUUAAACUGUGCCCAUGAUAAAAUGUAAUGUGUUGUACUAUUGAAUGAAACUGUGAGGAGAUGCCCUCAGACCAGCCUUUGACUCAAUUUAUGUUAAUUACUGUGAGCGGACCAAGUAAUUGGGCGUCACUCUAAAGCGGGAAGGUGG